Long non-coding RNA from Cephus cinctus (wheat stem sawfly), 2017 nucleotides. RefSeq lists it as uncharacterized. The transcript is spliced from 3 exons. Lineage: Eukaryota; Metazoa; Arthropoda; Insecta; Hymenoptera; Cephidae. The record is from RefSeq and is a predicted model, not a curated record.
CAAUGGGGUUUUCAUUGAUUUUCAUUAAUUCGAUACGCGUUACCCUCGGCAAAACACUAUUGGCAAUGGACAUGUUUCCUACGGGCAUGGGUCGCAGGCUGCGGUACUACCGAAAGGUCCCCCCUUUGGCAUUCGGGGAAUCCCCGACUUGAGCGAGCAGUCACGUUUUCUGAAAUGAGAGACAGACACGAUACCGCCAAUAUGUAAACUGGUAAGUCCUUGGCGAUUGACGCUUAACAACCUGUAUUUUAUUUUUAAAUAUUUUCCCUGCCAUUCUCUCUCUCUCUCUCUCUCUCUCUCUCUCUUUUUCGUCGCCUCUAUAGAUACGCGUAGGAAAUAUAGGUAAAAGUUCCUCGAAGUCGAGACGCUCAAACUGUAUCGUUCAUUCAUAAUCGCCGGGGCUGAUUCAUCGUUAUCGGUCAGUUGUGCAAUUUUUUUUUUUGGCACACCACGUAUGGAACGGUCUUGGAUCGAAGAAUUUUGGCCGAGCGAAGGAGGGAGAGGGAGAGAAAGAAGGAGGAGAUGAGAGGAGACAGAACGCAGAGAAAACGAUAGAUAGGCGACGGGGAGGAUUGGAAAAAAAGUGUCGUACCGAAAUAGCCCGUGAUUACAUAUAUACAUAGCUGCCCAAAGGUGUUAUCUAAAUACACGAGUUACAUACUGCACGAGAUAUACCCUGAUACGUGUGUCUGCACACACACAGUUUCUCGCAGCAUCGAAAUACCUGUGUUUAUGUACCAACGUGUGUAUUUUUCGCGUAUGUACAUUAUAUAAAGUAUGGCUGUACCAGGAUAGGCAGUACAGCCGGGGUCCCAGUAUCUCAUGUCCACAGUCCGUGGUGGCUCUCGGUAUCACAACGCAUUCUAAAAAUAUAGUUAGCUAUUUAUAACGCGACGUUUUUUCGCGAUGCCAAAGGAAAUGACAAAAAGGCGGUAAAAGGAGCUCGUGAAUUAUCACCGAAAGACGAUGGUCCAUGGGCUACCCCGAAAAUAAUCUGUAAAUAAAUUUCUCGAUAAGUUUGUUGAGAUACUUGAAGGAAAAAAAAAAAAUUAAAUAAAAAAAAAAUUUAAUCGAUAUCUAAAGGAGUAAUAUUGUACAUAACGUGUACGCCGCUUCCACCAGAUACUUAAUUUCUGUCCAUGAACAACACGAUAACAGAGUAACAGCAGUGCGCGGAUUUUAGACAAGCUGCGACGAAGAGGUGGAGCGUCGGGGAGGAAGGAGGGGGAACUAAAGACAGAAGCGCGGAUAAACCAAUUAUAAAUGAAGGACACGAACAGCACCCGUAGCGUCCUGUCUAAAUAUAAAGCGGCAACAAUAAUUAAAGUGUUUGACGAUUUGACAAGCGCGAAACGAAGUCACAUGCGACGAAUGUUGCCUGAACGGAUUAUCAUCUGUUUACACGUGAGAUUUGCGCCUCUUGUCUCUCUGCCGAAACAUUUGCGCAGACCGCGCGACAUGUCAGCUACCAUCGAAUGCCGCGUAGCACACUGCACGCUGUACAGUUUAUGCGCUCCAACCCGAAUGGACUAUUUGGUUUGGCCGGUUUACCGACGCUCACCGAGAGAUGGCACCACGGUCGCCCCGAUACACGGCCUACGCCUUCUCUAGAGUUCCCAUGCUCCUUGCUCUAUUUAGGAUCCUCCGUGGCGAACGGGUGACUCCCGAGAGGAAUCUUGGAGAGACUUUGCAGUAUGGCGUCUCACGACUACGGCGUAACGAAAGAAACUAAAAUAAUUGAUGACGUCAUCACGUGACCCAUUCGUAUUUUCCCUCGAGAUCCAUUAAGAAGUUUCACUCGAAAACUGGACUAGAUGCAAUAACCCUCCACUCUGUACGACUGCGGCUGUGGAGCCUUGGACGAAAUUUCGGUAACGCCUCCCGUAAACGGCAACGGGUUUCAAUGUAAAAAUUGAAUAUACACAGCUCGAAAGACUCUGGGCAAAUGUAUCCAUCAUUGUCGCUCGUGUGCGGGCACCGGCUACGUAAUACGUACAGAUGGCUGACUCACCGAGGG